GCCGAAGUGGUGGAACUGGUAGACACGCACGCUUGAGGGGCGUGUGGGGCGACUCGUGGGAGUUCAAAUCUCCCCUUCGGCACCA
Molecule: transfer RNA, 85 nt
Filed under: Pseudomonadota bacterium
Lineage: Bacteria; Pseudomonadati; Pseudomonadota
Description: Proteobacteria bacterium (groundwater metagenome) tRNA-Leu
Rfam family: tRNA
About the family: Transfer RNA (tRNA) molecules are approximately 80 nucleotides in length.
Source: RNAcentral